CAGUAGCCGCGGGAAUACAGAGGGUGCAAGCGUUAAUCGGAAUUACUGGGCGUAAAGCGCGCGUAGGUGGUUUGUUAAGUUGGAUGUGAAAUCCCCGGGCUCAACCUGGGAACUGCAUCCAAAACUGGCAAGCUAGAGUAUGGUAGAGGGUGGUGGAAUUUCCUGUGUAGCGGUGAAAUGCGUAGAUAUAGGAAGGAACACCAGUGGCGAAGGCGACCACCUGGACUGAUACUGACACUGAGGUGCGAAAGCGUGGGGAGCAAACAGGAUUAGAUAACCCUGUAGUCCCUGUCUCUUAUAC
This 301-nucleotide ribosomal RNA is filed under the name uncultured bacterium. RNAcentral's name for it is "partial 16S ribosomal RNA". It matches the Rfam family "Bacterial small subunit ribosomal RNA", at positions 509 to 807 of the family's 1533-position model. The record is from RNAcentral.